RNAcentral lists this transfer RNA (77 nucleotides) under Candidatus Undinarchaeales archaeon. Its description in RNAcentral is "tRNA-Pro". It matches the Rfam family "tRNA". Rfam says of the family: Transfer RNA (tRNA) molecules are approximately 80 nucleotides in length. Their secondary structure includes four short double-helical elements and three loops (D, anti-codon, and T loops). Lineage: Archaea; Nanobdellati; Candidatus Undinarchaeota; Candidatus Undinarchaeia; Candidatus Undinarchaeales. The record is from RNAcentral.
GGGGGUGUAGUCUAGCUUGGUAUGAUACUUGCUUUGGGAGCAAGUGGUCCCCAGUUCGAAUCUGGGCACCCCCACCA